GCAGCGGUAAUUUAGUGGUAGAAUUCUCACCUUCCAAGCAGGAGGCCCGGGUUUGAUUCUCGGCCAAUGCA
Molecule: transfer RNA, 71 nt
Filed under: Loxodonta africana (African savanna elephant)
Lineage: Eukaryota; Metazoa; Chordata; Mammalia; Proboscidea; Elephantidae
Rfam family: tRNA
About the family: Transfer RNA (tRNA) molecules are approximately 80 nucleotides in length. Their secondary structure includes four short double-helical elements and three loops (D, anti-codon, and T loops).
Source: Rfam by way of RNAcentral